CCUACGGGUGGCAGCAGUGGGGAAUAUUGGACAAUGGGGGGAACCCUGAUCCAGCGACGCCGCGUGAGUGAAGAAGUAUUUCGGUAUGUAAAGCUCUAUCAGCAGGGAAGAAAGAAAUGACGGUACCUGACUAAGAAGCCCCGGCUAACUACGUGCCAGCAGCCGCGGUAAUACGUAGGGGGCAAGCGUUAUCCGGAUUUACUGGGUGUAAAGGGAGCGUAGACGGCGAUGCAAGUCUGAAGUGAAAGGCGGGGGCCCAACCUCCGGACUGCUUUGGAAACUGUAUGGCUGGAGUACAGGAGAGGUAAGUGGAAUUCCUAGUGUAGCGGUGAAAUGCGUAGAUAUUAGGAGGAACACCAGUGGCGAAGGCGGCUUACUGGACUGUAACUGACGUUGAGGCUCGAAAGCGUGGGGAGCAAACAGGAUUAGAUACCCCUGUAGUC
This 443-nucleotide ribosomal RNA is filed under the name uncultured bacterium. RNAcentral's name for it is "partial 16S ribosomal RNA". It matches the Rfam family "Bacterial small subunit ribosomal RNA", at positions 338 to 795 of the family's 1533-position model. The record is from RNAcentral.